CCGCCACCGCCGCCGCCGCCAGCCGUCCGCCGCCCGCCGCCUCGGGGUUCCAAAGUUUUGGCGACAGCUUCUGUGCGGUGUGCGGCGUUCGGAGUGCGGCGUGCGGUGCGCGGGACUGUCUGCGAGCCUAGACGUGGAGGUAGCACCUACAAUAAAGACGUGACGUACUGUUUGCAAACAUGCCAAGCUUUAAGCGCCUCGGGCAUGCUAACAGCAGCGCGGUCUUAUGAUUUUGAGGCCAUUGUAAGUGGUAUG
Long non-coding RNA from Papilio polytes (common Mormon), 255 nucleotides. RefSeq lists it as uncharacterized. The transcript is spliced from 3 exons. NCBI's taxonomy places the organism in Eukaryota, Metazoa, Arthropoda, Insecta, Lepidoptera, Papilionidae. The record is from RefSeq and is a predicted model, not a curated record.